AUCGAGCUGACGAGUCUCAAAUGGGACGAAACGCACCUCCUGGAU
This 45-nucleotide non-coding RNA is filed under the name Schistosoma mansoni. Lineage: Eukaryota; Metazoa; Platyhelminthes; Trematoda; Strigeidida; Schistosomatidae. The record is from RNAcentral.